CCUACGGGAGGCAGCAGUGAGGAAUAUUGGUCAAUGGACGAGAGUCUGAACCAGCCAAGUAGCGUGAAGGAUGACUGCCCUAUGGGUUGUAAACUUCUUUUAUAUGGGAAUAAAACGUUCCACGUGUGGGAUUUUGUAUGUACCAUAUGAAUAAGGAUCGGCUAACUCCGUGCCAGCAGCCGCGGUAAUACGGAGGAUCCGAGCGUUAUCCGGAUUUAUUGGGUUUAAAGGGAGCGUAGGUGGAUUGUUAAGUCGGUUGUGAAAGUUUGCGGCUCAACCGUAAAAUUGCAGUUGAAACUGGCAGUCUUGAGUACAGUAGAGGUGGGCGGAAUUCGUGGUGUAGCGGUGAAAUGCUUAGAUAUCACGAAGAACUCCGAUUGCGAAGGCAGUUCACUGGACUGCAACUGACACUGAGGCUCGAAAGUGUGGGUAUCAAACAGGAUUAGAUACCCUUGUAGUC
RNAcentral lists this ribosomal RNA (460 nucleotides) under uncultured bacterium. Its description in RNAcentral is "partial 16S ribosomal RNA". It matches the Rfam family "Bacterial small subunit ribosomal RNA", at positions 338 to 795 of the family's 1533-position model. The record is from RNAcentral.